This 218-nucleotide ribosomal RNA is filed under the name Faecalicatena faecalis. Its description in RNAcentral is "partial 16S ribosomal RNA". It matches the Rfam family "Bacterial small subunit ribosomal RNA", at positions 1 to 197 of the family's 1533-position model. The record is from RNAcentral. Lineage: Bacteria; Bacillati; Bacillota; Clostridia; Lachnospirales; Lachnospiraceae.
UUUAACGAGAGUUUGAUCCUGGCUCAGGAUGAACGCUGGCGGCGUGCUUAACACAUGCAAGUCGAGCGAAGCACUUUACUUUGAUUUCUUCGGAUUGAAGAGUGUUGUGACUGAGCGGCGGACGGGUGAGUAACGCGUGGGUAACCUGCCUCAUACAGGGGGAUAACAGUUAGAAAUGGCUGCUAAUACCGCAUAAGACCACGGUACCGCAUGGUACA